GCCGUAAGUUCUAUGGAACUUAAUACCGACUAGCUCACCGUUACGUCUUCAGCUUGCAUUAAUAUGUACUUUAUUCCUAGCUUUUACGUGGUUAACCCACUCAUGAAGCAUUCAAUCGACUCAUCGAUUUCCAAAGUAACCGACUAAAGCAACGAGUAUAAAUACACCAACUUCCAGCGAUGAACAGAAUAACUACAACAAGCUCUACAAGGAUAGUUUGUUCAGCUUACCAAUUACGACAACGGCGAAUUCCUACAUCCUUGGGAGCUGCUCCAACACGUUGAGACCAUGGAAAGAACAUGGGAAAAUAUCUAAUUUUAUUCGUCUUUUUACUCAACGCCGAUUUGUUUGGUGGUAGAGGAGGACAUCUACUCUUCUUUACUGUUUAAAAUCAAUCUAGAUCUGAACCUCUCCGGCGUAUCCUAGCAGGUUUUUUUGGCCUCUUCAAUUCUAUGCUAAUCUUCAGCUUGAUCUAUGUUUCGAUAGAAUUAACAAUUGAAGAAACCCUCUGAUGAAGUUUUAUGGACAGUUUUCUUUUUAUUACAUAACCGAAGCUGCAAGCUGUGUUUUUGUUGGUAUCUCUUGCAGUUACCAUCAUGUAGCCCCUCUUAGGUUAUACGCUUAGAUGUUUUCUUCUCUUGCAGAUUCCGAAGACUUUAAAAUCACAUCAGAGCCUCAGGUUGCGAUUACACCAAGUUUGCAGCUUCAGAUGAUCAUUGUCUCCGUUCUUUAAACAUGGGAUGAGAGAGUAUGUCAUCGGAGAUUUCAUCAAUAUGUUUGGAAGCGUAGCUAUUAAUUUUGGCACAAACCUUCUCAAAUUGAGACCUAAUCAAGUUUGCAUUUGCCUCAGUCAGUACCAUUUCGUUGCAUUUGUCCUUCUGAGCCUUACUCUGUUGGUUUUGUGUAUUAUGAGAGAGAGAGAGAGGUUAGCCUUAUAGGAUAAUGGUGGAGGAGAGACGCAAUUGAUGCCGCAUAUACAGUUUCAAACAUGGAUAGUUAAUAGCAACUGUUGAUGAGACUAAAAGGUCAAGAAAAAAAAAGUAUAGGUGUCAUUCCUCCACUCCAAUAUUUUAGUAAUUAUCUUCCGAUCAGGCUCUGUUUUCAUGAAUUAUUUUUUACUUUCAUUCUGCAGGAUGAGAACAAGUGAGGAACCGCCAGUAUGUGUGACAUGCUUUACAUAGCAACGUCGCACUCCUUGCCAAAUUCAUCUUCUCUCUUGACCUGAGCUAAGGUUCAUAAAUCAAAUGAAAAAUAUGAAGGUAGCUACUUGACUCCAUGUUCAAGUAAUGGUGGAUAAGUAUGAAGUCAGCUGUGAUGGUAUGAAAGGAUACUUGACUCCAUGUUCAGGGGAAACUCACCCGCCUAUAUUCAGGUCCCCAGUGAAGGGUAGGGAGGGCAUCUUGCCAACCAACUCAUGUGAGAUCACGGACCUAGAUCAGUGGUUUUUCUAACUUUUAACGCCUCAGCUUCCCCGCCCGUCACACUAUGGAAGCUGGCCAUGCGAAUCUUUCUCAGUCUCUCUCGCUCUUCUUCUUCUCCUAUGAUUAUUGUUUCCAGUCUUCACAACAUUUUUUAACUGCGGCACUAAAAGGGUUUUACUUAAACCAAACUUUGUAUAUAAGUCUUAAUAUUCUAUUCAUAUACCAAA
Brassica napus (rape) is the source of this 1648-nucleotide long non-coding RNA. RefSeq lists it as uncharacterized. Lineage: Eukaryota; Viridiplantae; Streptophyta; Magnoliopsida; Brassicales; Brassicaceae. The transcript is spliced from 2 exons. The record is from RefSeq and is a predicted model, not a curated record.